UUUCGAGCGUCUUCACAAGUUUUUAUAAAGUCAGACGUUUUCUGCUUAAGGUUUGCGGAAUAUUUACAUACUAUAAAGUUCCUAGUUUAAGAUCUUGUAACCUUUUUAAGUCACCACUUUUCAGUGUUUAAUCAACCAGGUGCUCCUGAAUAUCUGCACAUGCACGUAUUGGAAUGAAAUUGAACCUGACGUGAGCAUCAGCAGUUACACGGAUUUCGUACGCGACAACCAACAUAUUUGCAUAUUUUGACAGCAGGUUCAUUAUGGAGUAUGGAAUUUUGGCUUUUGGACUCGUUUUAUGUAUCAAGAUAUUACUACUCUUUAAAAUAUUGAUCUUCAGGAGUGAAACAUGUCAAAAUGAAGACAAUACAGCAGCAAACGUCGAGAUAACUACAAUAUGCACUGCGGAAAGUCUACGCAAAAUGACGCAAGACUUCCACGAUAUUGAGCGACAAACUGUCCCCUCAUACUCCGAAGUAGUCGCUAAUUACAAAGAUUUUCCAUGCGUUGUAUACAUUGAUGAAGUUGACAAAAGCAAACAUAUGCCCCUUCCACCCACUUACGAAGAGUGUCUAGAAAUACACAAGUGCAAACUGUGACGAAUAGAGAUAAACAGAAAUAUAUAUAUAUAUUAUUUGAAAUACUUAAAACUUAUAUCAUGUAUUAUCGAAACCUACAUUUAAACAGACUUGAUUAAAUAAAGUUAGUUAAAAUUCACUUUUUUGUAAAUUAAAGUAAUACGUAACAAAAGCUUGUUUCAUUUAUAAAAUCAAAAUCUGUUAUUAGCCAAAAAAUACUAGAUUAGAACUAAUUAUAUUUGUAUAAGCCAAUUAUUUAAAAAUAUUUUAUUUGAACUCAUUUUAUUUGUAAAAAUCAAACAAAAAUUGUGCUCUAUGGGUAAACCCUGGAAGAGCUAAUAAAUACACUUAUCUAUCUACCUA
Long non-coding RNA from Folsomia candida, 941 nucleotides. RefSeq lists it as uncharacterized. The record is from RefSeq and is a predicted model, not a curated record. NCBI's taxonomy places the organism in Eukaryota, Metazoa, Arthropoda, Collembola, Entomobryomorpha, Isotomidae. The transcript has 2 exons.